This is a long non-coding RNA of Engraulis encrasicolus (European anchovy), 2170 nucleotides long. RefSeq lists it as uncharacterized. The transcript is spliced from 3 exons. NCBI's taxonomy places the organism in Eukaryota, Metazoa, Chordata, Actinopteri, Clupeiformes, Engraulidae. The record is from RefSeq and is a predicted model, not a curated record.
CCCACAUGUUACUCAAAAUAUGUAUUAUAUUUUUUGUAAUGGGCGUCACUAUUGGCCAGUCCUGAAUAUCACCUUUGAAAAGCCAUGUUUGCCGAUAUUGUGAGAAAAGGUUCACCUCUGUUUUUCAACUUGACAGAUGGUUACCCCCUGUGCUAGUGGAAGAUGUGACUUUGAAGACAGUCAUUGUAAAAGGUGCAAAAGGCUUGUCUAAGAUAAGCUGGCAGUCUACCCGCAUGGCCUGCGUUGCUGACAUUAAGUGAAGUUAAUGCAGAGUUCCUGUGCCUGACAGAUACUUGAGGAAGCAUCUUGGAGGUUGUCAAGGAGAAGGGAGGCAUUGCCAGAAGGAAGGUAGGAUAACUCAUGGCUCCAGCAGCUAAUGGAAACAUUGUGUUUGAGUUGCAAACAAUCUAAUGAAGUUGGGUAUUAGGUAUUAGAAGGUCAGACAUUAGGUGUGGGAGAUGCAUGGCCCACCUCUAGGUUCACUGACUCUGAAUUUUGAACAGUUCUGAUUAUGGUGUUCACAAACGAUCUGCACCCCAAUAAAGAGAGCAUGCGAUAAAUGGCACCUGCAUAUCACUGACAAGCACACUAUUAAAUGCCCCCUAUUAGUGGCCAUGGUUGUCAUUCACUAGAUAUCAGGAUUUUUACAUUUAGUGCCAUUAAAGCUACAUAAAAAGUGUGUGCACAGUGUUAAGCUUUCUGCAUUUUCUUUUUCCACCAUCAGGACUGGAGUGGCGAAGUGAUCCAAAGGCAGACUGCACAUCUACGUAUAUGGUUUGCAAGGAACAUCCCGUGCCAGAGACUGUGAUACAAGGCAUGGAGCUGGACAGUGAACUCGGAGCAUCUCUUGUGCAUGUGUGAUGCUGUUUGGACUCGGUUACCGGUAUAUACCCUCAAUCUCAACUCUGUGGAUUUGGAUUUACAAUUUUAAGUAUCCAGAUGAACUGAAAUAUAUGUUCUGGUGAAUUUGGAAAAUAUGCCCAAAAGGUCCAAUCACUAUAAACUACAGUAAAUAUGUUGGACACUGGCAAUCUCAGGUUCUAAGCCAUUGUAUAAAAGGACAAUCCAUCGCAUUUCUAUUAAUACCUUUGUGUGCUGUUCUCUGAUCUGAGUUAAUGAUUUUUUUUGUCCUUUUUUGUCUUUUGUCAGCAUGGCAUUGAGUAUCAUUGAGGGGCUUUUUUCUAAACAUUGGCUAUGCAGAUUAAAAGAUGAGCACUGUAAGGAAAGGCGUAAUAACGCCUCAGUAGCACUUCAUGGACACAUUGAUAUCAUAAUUAAAAACAUUUCUCUCUCCCUCUCCUCCCCCACUUUGAGAAAGAAUCAAAGAGUCAAAAGUGCUCCUGCGGGCAGUUGGUUAAUUCUAAAAUGUCCAUUCACAAAUAACAUCUUUUUCAUGAAUGUCUAAGUAAAUAAGUGAGUAAAUAGACACAUACUGUUCUGAUGAGAGUAUGCUUUUCGGCCAAAGAUAUCUGACUGCAUAUCUGACCCAAGCGAUUAUGACAUUACUUAGAAUUUGAUGGUGGUUGUAAGCAUUCAUGAAAAAGAUGACAUUUCUGAACAGGCCACAUUAAUUAAUGUGUUAAAGUACACUGAUAAUUUCAGGUUUUCUGUUUAAUUUCUGUUUAAUCAUACGAUUAUAUUGUCAAGAUUUUGGUGUUGUAUUAUCGUUUGACUGCAUGUUUGUCCAGCUGAUGAAAUAUUAAUAAAAGAAAUGUUUUGAAGUUCUUGUCAAGUAUAUUUUUCUCAUACACCUAAACAAGAUAUUAAUUCUACAUGAGAAAAUAAGUAUUCUAGCUAAGAAAAUCAGACUAGUUUUAAGACUUUAAGUGAGCUGGAAACAAGUAAAUUUGCCUUGUUUUAAGCGUCUUGUAUGCUUGUUUUGAGCAAUAAUUUCUUGGAGGACAUCUAAUUCUAAGCAAUAAUGACUAAUAAAGGAGAAGAAAUUGCUUAAAAUAAGAGCAAAAAUCUUAACAAGCAACAGAAAAAUAAGAUUUUUAUACUUGUUUCAAGUGUUUUUCUAUACCUACCGCUUAGAUUUUAUUUUCUUGUUUUAAGAAUUCUUACCAAGUCCAAUUUGCUCGCUGCACUGGCAGAUUAUUUUGCUCAAAAUAAGCAAUUUUUCACCUAAAACACUAUAUUUUUUACUUAUUUUUUUAGAGGGCUUUUUUGC